This 253-nucleotide ribosomal RNA is filed under the name uncultured bacterium. RNAcentral's name for it is "partial 16S ribosomal RNA". It matches the Rfam family "Bacterial small subunit ribosomal RNA", at positions 524 to 776 of the family's 1533-position model. The record is from RNAcentral.
UACAGAGACUGCAAGCGUUAUUCGGAUUCACUGGGCGUAAAGGGUGCGCAGGCGGCCGUGUGUGUGAGGCGUGAAAGCCCGGGGCUUAACCCCGGAAUUGCACCUCAAACUACAUGGCUAGAGCAUUGGAGAGGGUAGCAGAAUUCAUGGUGUAGCAGUGAAAUGCGUAGAUAUCAGGAGGAACACCGGUGGCGAAGGCGCUCAUCUGGCCCAAUACUGACGCUGAGGCGCGAAAGCUAGGGGAGCGAACGGG